GGCUCCUCCUUAUCUGAGGCCUGGGACCGGCCUACAAGCUGCCAUUGGGUCCAUUCCAGGUCUGACACGUGAUUCUCAUUGUAGGAAACAGUAAUUCUAUGAUCUGUUAGGAGAGGUUCAGAAAGAAGAGUUGCAUGGUCAAAUAGAUGUGGGUGACCUUGGAUUCCCCAGUUACGUAGCUUGACCUCAGACUUCUCAGAGCCUUUAACGUAUUGUGUAUGUUGAGGAUUUCCAGGGGGCAGGGAAUAUGUGGGCAACGUUCUGAAACUUAACCGAUGAUAAAACACCUUUAUCCCAGAGUGUCUAAAGGAUUAUACCUUUUAACGACGCAGAAGAGUGCCAGGCCAGAGGAGGUGGCUUCAGGGUGGACACUGACACCUGAAGGUGAAAUCUAGUUCCACACAUCACUGUUUCCUUCUUCUUUUGUAGAUCUAAAAUGAGACUCUCACCCUAGAAUUAUAAAAGAGAAAAAUGUUUACAGGAAGGCGCAUUUAAGAAAAUUUUCAAGGAAGGUACAUUUGAGAAAUACAGCUUGCCUGAGGAAGCAAAAUUGAUAAUACCUUGUGAUUCAGCCACACUUGGCUUGAGCUCAGCAAGUCCUGAUGCCUCCCUGGGCAUCAGCUUUCCCAUGAGCAACCAUACAAGGUAAUUGGAAACGUCAAGGAAGACAAUGGGCGUGGAAGUGAUUUAUAAAGCAUAUACCCUAUAGUGUGCUGUGCACAUGGAACGGCGUUGGAGAUGAGAGAAUGGUGAUGAAGAUGAUAAAAUUGCUGGAUUUUUAGGUUAAAAGUUGUGAUAAACAGACAAGUGGGGUUAUUAAAGGCAAAAUGCUACUUUCUCUAUUUAAUACCUGUCCUGGGGCUAUUGCUGCUGGAAAUCAAAGCAAUACUACUGUCCCACCCCCCCUUGCA
Pan troglodytes (chimpanzee) is the source of this 911-nucleotide long non-coding RNA. RefSeq lists it as uncharacterized. The transcript has 3 exons. NCBI's taxonomy places the organism in Eukaryota, Metazoa, Chordata, Mammalia, Primates, Hominidae. The record is from RefSeq and is a predicted model, not a curated record.